CCUACGGGUGGCAGCAGUGAGGAAUAUUGGUCAAUGGCCGCAGGGCUGAACCAGCCAAGUCGCGUGAGGGAUGACGGUCCUAUGGAUUGUAAACCUCUUUUGUCAGGGAGCAAAGGGAGCCACGUAUGGCGCUUUGCGAGUACCUGAAGAAAAAGCAUCGGAUAACUCCGUGCCAGCCGCCGCGGUAAUACGGAGGAUGCGAGCGUUAUCCGGAUUUAUUGGGUUUAAGGGGUGCGCAGGCGGAAGGUCAAGUCAGCGGUAAAAUUUCGGGGCUCAACCCCGUCGUGCCGUUGAAACUGGCGUUCUUGAGUGAGCGAGAGGUAUGCGGAAUGCGUGGUGUAGCGGUGAAAUGCAUAGAUAUCACGCAGAACUCCGAUUGCGAAGGCAGCAUACCGGCGCUCAACUGACGCGCAUGCACGAAAGCGUGGGUAUCGAACAGGAUUAGAUACCCCUGUAGUC
RNAcentral lists this ribosomal RNA (459 nucleotides) under uncultured bacterium. Its description in RNAcentral is "partial 16S ribosomal RNA". It matches the Rfam family "Bacterial small subunit ribosomal RNA", at positions 338 to 795 of the family's 1533-position model. The record is from RNAcentral.